AUACUCUGGUUUCUCUUCAGAUCACAUAAAAUUUUUAUUUACUAAAGAUUUCCAUGGAGAGGAACAGCUGAGUCUCAAGCUGUUAUUUUGAUACAGCAGGGCUGGAU
This 107-nucleotide small nuclear RNA is filed under the name Carlito syrichta (Philippine tarsier). RNAcentral's name for it is "U5 spliceosomal RNA (ENSTSYG00000024229.2)". It matches the Rfam family "U5 spliceosomal RNA". Rfam says of the family: U5 RNA is a component of both types of known spliceosome. The precise function of this molecule is unknown, though it is known that the 5' loop is required for splice site selection and p220 binding, and that both the 3' stem-loop and the Sm site are important for Sm protein binding and cap methylation. Lineage: Eukaryota; Metazoa; Chordata; Mammalia; Primates; Tarsiidae. The record is from Rfam by way of RNAcentral.